GUUUUUUUCAAUUACAAAAAAAAAUAAAAACAGAAACAAAAAUUUCAGCUUGAGGCUCCCUCCUUUGCUUUGACCUCUCUCAGUAAAAGUUGCCAUCCAUUUAGCAGCAAUCCCAUGAGAUCCUGCACAUACCCCCAUAAUUACAGCUAUUACAUCAUCCAGCUAUAAUUUGUUUGCCUGUCUUCCCAGCCUCCUGCUUCAUUUCCCUCUACCCUUAGGGAUGGUGAGACACGGUCUACUCAUCUUUGCUCCCCCAUACCUGGAAUGUUGCUAGACACAAAAGUUCAAAAUAAAUGUGUGGAAGAUCAGUGAUGCAUGAGCAUGUCAAGCUUACCCUGAAUCAACCUGUGAAUGUGGCUCCAGUAAACAACAACAACAACAAACCUUAGUGUUUCUGAGAACCAGCCCUGUGAGGAAUUCCUUCCUCCUCCAAAGUUCUUGAAAUGGAUAGAUGGAGUCAUGUAAGGAACUGUGAUAUUCUGCAAUGGUGCACUAUGUAAGAUCCAGGAAGAUCAAGAUAUGGAACUCUCAGGUCCUUUUCUAAUACAUCUGCCUGCAUGCUGCCAUGGUUCCUGUCAUGAUGAUAAUGGACUAAACCUCUGCACUGAAAGUCUCUGAUCUGCUGGGCCUGGAGGCUGACACUGGCCUGGACCUCUGCCUCUAAUGAAGCCACUGAGAUCACAGGAGCCUAGGAUAACUGCCUAGGUUUAACAAGUAGACAUGGAUGAGAAGAGACACUCAAUCUAACUUCUGAAUAUCAGGG
This 763-nucleotide long non-coding RNA is filed under the name Cricetulus griseus (Chinese hamster). Its description in RNAcentral is "lncRNA (ENSCGRG00015029774.1)". The record is from RNAcentral. Lineage: Eukaryota; Metazoa; Chordata; Mammalia; Rodentia; Cricetidae.